This 450-nucleotide ribosomal RNA is filed under the name uncultured bacterium. RNAcentral describes it as "bacterial SSU rRNA". It matches the Rfam family "Bacterial small subunit ribosomal RNA", at positions 354 to 796 of the family's 1533-position model. The record is from RNAcentral.
GUGAGGAAUUUUGCGCAAUGGGGGAAACCCUGACGCAGCAACGCCGCGUGGGUGACGAAGGCCUUCGGGUCGUAAAGCCCUGUCAGGUAGGAAAAAAGCCCUAUAGUUAAGAGCUGUAGGGUUUGAUGGUACUACCAGAGGAAGCACCGGCUAACUCCGUGCCAGCAGCCGCGGUAAUACGGAGGGUGCGAGCGUUGUUCGGAAUUACUGGGCGUAAAGAGCGUGUAGGCGGUUUGGCAAGUCAGAUGUGAAAGCCCUUGGCUCAACCGAGGAAGUGCAUUUGAGACUGCUAUUCUAGAGUAUGGGAGAGGAGAGUGGAAUUCCCGGUGUAGAGGUGAAAUUCGUAGAUAUCGGGAGGAACACCCGUGGCGAAGGCGACUCUCUGGACCAAUACUGACGCUGAGACGCGAAAGCGUGGGGAGCAAACAGGAUUAGAAACCCUAGUAGUCC